GACGAACGCUGGCGGCGUGCCUAAUACAUGCAAGUCGAACGCUUCUUUCCUCCCGAGUGCUUGCACUCAAUUGGAAAGAGGAGUGGCGGACGGGUGAGUAACACGUGGGUAACCUACCCAUCAGAGGGGGAUAACACUUGGAAACAGGUGCUAAUACCGCAUAACAGUUUAUGCCGCAUGGCAUAAGAGUGAAAGGCGCUUUCGGGUGUCGCUGAUGGAUGGACCCGCGGUGCAUAAGCUAGUUGGUGAGGUAACGGCUCACCAAGGACACGAUGCAUAGCCGACCUGAGAGGGUGAUCGGCCACACUGGGACUGAGACACGGCACAGACUCCUACGGGAGGCAGCAGUAGGGAAUCUUCGGCAAUGGACGAAAGUCUGACCGAGCAACGCCGCGUGAGUGAAGAAGGUUUUCGGAUCGUAAAACUCUGUUGUUAGAGAAGAACAAGGACGUUAGUAACUGAACGUCCCCUGACGGUAUCUAACCAGAAAGCCACGGCUAACUACGUG
RNAcentral lists this ribosomal RNA (508 nucleotides) under uncultured bacterium. RNAcentral describes it as "partial 16S ribosomal RNA". It matches the Rfam family "Bacterial small subunit ribosomal RNA", at positions 28 to 507 of the family's 1533-position model. The record is from RNAcentral.